UGGGGAAUAUUGCGCAAUGGGGGAAACCCUGACGCAGCAACGCCGCGUGAAUGAUGAAGGUCUUCGGAUUGUAAAGUUCUGUCUUCUGGGACGAUAAUGACGGUACCAGAGGAGGAAGCCACGGCUAACUACGUGCCAGCAGCCGCGGUAAUACGUAGGUGGCAAGCGUUGUCCGGAUUUACUGGGCGUAAAGGAUGCGUAGGCGGACAUUUAAGUCAGAUGUGAAAUACCCGAGCUUAACUUGGGUGCUGCAUUUGAAACUGGGUGUCUAGAGUGCAGGAGAGGUAAGUGGAAUUCCUAGUGUAGCGGUGAAAUGCGUAGAGAUUAGGAAGAACACCAGUGGCGAAGGCGACUUACUGGACUGUAACUGACGCUGAGGCAUGAAAGCGUGGGGAGCAAACA
Molecule: ribosomal RNA, 402 nt
Filed under: uncultured Clostridium sp.
Lineage: Bacteria; Bacillati; Bacillota; Clostridia; Eubacteriales; Clostridiaceae
Also listed under: 1 other name
Description: bacterial SSU rRNA
Rfam family: Bacterial small subunit ribosomal RNA
Source: RNAcentral